RNAcentral lists this long non-coding RNA (266 nucleotides) under Phaseolus vulgaris (common bean). RNAcentral's name for it is "long non-coding RNA (PVUL_LNC002309)". The record is from RNAcentral. Lineage: Eukaryota; Viridiplantae; Streptophyta; Magnoliopsida; Fabales; Fabaceae.
UAUGAUCCAGGCCCUCCAGGCACAAAUGGAUUAUGACAAAAAGGUAUCGCGGGCCAGUUACAGAAUGAAGUCGACAUGAGGUGGAGAUGUCCCUUUUGAAGGACCAGAACAAAAAUCUACAGCAGCGGCUCGAUGGGCGUGAGCAAGAAGAACAAUCCCAAGCACCACCACCAACCCGUUGAAUCAAGUGUGUUCAAACUUUAAAGAAUCCAAAUCCUUUAAGUUUGAUGGAAGGCUUGAUGUGCUUGUUGUUGAUGAGGUGUUUU